GAUGAACGCUGGCGGCGUGCCUAAUACAUGCAAGUCGAGCGAACAGACGAGGAGCUUGCCCCUCUGACGUUAGCGGCGGACGGGUGAGUAACACGUGGAUAACCUACCUAUAAGACUGGGAUAACUUCGGGAAACCGGAGCUAAUACCGGAUAAUAUAUUGAACCGCAUGGUUCAAUAGUGAAAGACGGUUUUGCUGUCACUUAUAGAUGGAUCCGCGCCGCAUUAGCUAGUUGGUAAGGUAACGGCUUACCAAGGCAACGAUGCGUAGCCGACCUGAGAGGGUGAUCGGCCACACUGGAACUGAGACACGGUCCAGACUCCUACGGGAGGCAGCAGUAGGGAAUCUUCCGCAAUGGGCGAAAGCCUGACGGAGCAACGCCGCGUGAGUGAUGAAGGUCUUCGGAUCGUAAAACUCUGUUAUUAGGGAAGAACAAAUGUGCAAGUAACUAUGCACGUCUUGACGGUACCUAAUCAGAAAGCCACGGCUAACUACGUG
RNAcentral lists this ribosomal RNA (497 nucleotides) under uncultured bacterium. Its description in RNAcentral is "partial 16S ribosomal RNA". It matches the Rfam family "Bacterial small subunit ribosomal RNA", at positions 28 to 507 of the family's 1533-position model. The record is from RNAcentral.